Molecule: ribosomal RNA, 504 nt
Filed under: Rhoptropella ocellata (Namaqua day gecko)
Lineage: Eukaryota; Metazoa; Chordata; Lepidosauria; Squamata; Gekkonidae
Description: partial 16S ribosomal RNA
Rfam family: Bacterial large subunit ribosomal RNA
Source: RNAcentral
UAUUAGAGGUACUGCCUGCCCAGUGAAAGCUUUUUAAACGGCCGCGGUAUCCUAACCGUGCAAAGGUAGCGCAAUCAUUUGUCCCUUAAAUGAGGACUAGUAUGAAAGGCAACAUGAGGGCCUAACUGUCUCCUACAGCCACUCAAUGAAAUUGAUCUCCUAGUACAAAAGCUAGGAUAUGCCCAUAAGACGAGAAGACCCUGUGGAGCUUCAAGCUAAUAUAUUAACCCACCCCACCGGUCUAUAAUAUAAACUUUAAGUUGGGGCGACUAAGGAGUAAAACGAAACCUCCAUGAACCACGACUUACAGUCGUUAUAAUAGGCGAACCCGCCUAACAUUAUAAUAACCGACCCAGCACAGCUGAUCACCGAACCAAGUUACCCCAGGGAUAACAGCGCCAUCCCCUUAAAGAGUUCCUAUCGCUAAGGGGGUUUACGACCUCGAUGUUGGAUCAGGACACCCCGGUGGUGCAGCCGCUACCAAAGGUUCGUUUGUUCAACGAG